Molecule: ribosomal RNA, 454 nt
Filed under: uncultured bacterium
Lineage: Bacteria
Description: bacterial SSU rRNA
Rfam family: Bacterial small subunit ribosomal RNA
Source: RNAcentral
UACGUAAGGCAGCAGUGGGGAAUAUUGCACAAUGGGCGAAAGCCUGAUGCAGCUAUGCCGCGUGUAUGAAGAAGGCCUUAGGGUUGUAAAGUACUUUCAUCGGGGAGGAAAAACAAAACUAAUAAUUUUAUUUCUUGACGUUACCCGAAAAAGAAGCACCGGCUAACUCCGUGCCAGCAGCCGCGGUAAUACGGAGGGUGCUAGCGUUAAUCAGAAUUACUGGGCGUAAAGAGCACGUAGGUGGUUUUUUUAAGUCAGAUGUGAAAUCCCUGGGCUUAACCUAGGAACUGCAUUUUGAAACUGAAAUACUAGAGUAUCGUAGAGGGAGGUAGAAUUCUAGGUGUAGCGGUGAAAUGCGUAGAUAUCUGGAGGAAUACCUGUGGCGAAAGCGGCCUCCUAAACGAAUACUGACACUGAGGUGCGAAAGCGUGGGGAGCAAACAGGGAUUAAUACC